Etheostoma spectabile (orangethroat darter) is the source of this 654-nucleotide long non-coding RNA. RefSeq lists it as uncharacterized. The transcript is spliced from 3 exons. NCBI's taxonomy places the organism in Eukaryota, Metazoa, Chordata, Actinopteri, Perciformes, Percidae. The record is from RefSeq and is a predicted model, not a curated record.
UUAACGACCUCAUGAAGCUAAAAUAAGUGACAACGUAUUUUUUCAGUUUUUCUAAUAAUAUCACCUAACGUCACCGUGGUUUCUGGUUUUGUUAGCGUUAGCUGACGCUCGUCAGUUAGCUAGCUAGCUAGCAGCGAUGGAAAGAAGAGACAACCAACAAACAAACCAACAAAUAAACUAUAAAUGCAACAAGUGCAGUAGGACAUAAUGGCAGUCAUAAUUCACCUCCAUGAAAGAAAGUAGCUAGUUGAGACUUCAGCGACAAAUAAGGUGGUCAUGUGCCGGACUGUCUCUUGGAUAGGAGCCGUUGCCAGGCAACCAACUGACACCAACAGAAGAUGCUGCUCCAGAAACAAACAAGGAGCUCAAACAGCGGGAGAAGGAUUCAGAGCUCUGCUGGCAAUGUGAGCAGAGCAGAAAUGCUGCUGAGGAAAAAAAGCAGGCAGAAGUCAGACAACCUCCCUACUCUCACCGUCAGCGCACAUGACCUUGGGGCCAGAGCGAGCUAGUGAGCAAGCGGGCGGAGGGCCCGCCCAGCAUGCUUUGGUUCAUACACAGAGGAAUUUGGAAAGCAGAGUGGAGUGCGGGUCUGCGAGCCCUAGCCCUUUUCUUAAGUGAGUGCAAAUUAACUGAAAUAAAACUUUUAAAGGUCAA